RNAcentral lists this ribosomal RNA (209 nucleotides) under uncultured bacterium. RNAcentral's name for it is "partial 16S ribosomal RNA". It matches the Rfam family "Bacterial small subunit ribosomal RNA", at positions 567 to 775 of the family's 1533-position model. The record is from RNAcentral.
GAGCGCAGGCGGGAAGACAAGUUGGAAGUGAAAUCCAUGGGCUCAACCCAUGAACUGCUUUCAAAACUGUUUUUCUUGAGUAGUGCAGAGGUAGGCGGAAUUCCCGGUGUAGCGGUGGAAUGCGUAGAUAUCGGGAGGAACACCAGUGGCGAAGGCGGCCUACUGGGCACCAACUGACGCUGAGACUCGAAAGUGUGGGUAGCAAACAG